CCUACGGGCGGCAGCAGUGAGGAAUAUUGGUCAAUGGACGGAAGGCUGAACCAGCCAUGCCGCGUGAAGGUCAGUGCCCUUUGGGCGUUAAACUUCUUUUGUGCGGGAGCAAUAAUGGUCACGUGUGGCCAGACGAGAGUACCGUACGAAUAAGCAUCGGCCAACUCCGUGCCAGCAGCCGCGGUAAUACGGGGGAUGCAAGCGUUAUCCGGAUUUGUUGGGUUAAAAGGGUGCGUAGGCUGUGAGGUAAGUGAGCGGUAAAAGCCCGGGGCUCAACCCCGGCGAGCCGUUGAAACUGGCGGGCUGGAGUGGGAGAGAGGUACGCGGAAUGCGCGGUGUAGCGGUGAAAUGCUUAGAUAUCGCGCAGAACCCCGAUUGCGAAGGCAGCGUACCGGCUCCACACUGACGCUGAGGCACGAAAGCGUGGGUAUCGAACAGGAUUAGAUACCCUUGUAGUC
RNAcentral lists this ribosomal RNA (458 nucleotides) under uncultured bacterium. RNAcentral describes it as "partial 16S ribosomal RNA". It matches the Rfam family "Bacterial small subunit ribosomal RNA", at positions 338 to 795 of the family's 1533-position model. The record is from RNAcentral.